AACGAACGCUGGCGGCAUGCCUAACACAUGCAAGUCGAACGAGACCUUCGGGUCGAGUGGCGAACGGGUGCGUAACGCGUGGGAACCUGCGAUUAGGUUCGGAAUAACUCCCCGAAAGGGGUGCUAAUACCGGAUAAUGUCUUCGGACCAAAGAUUUAUCGCCUUUGGAUGGGCCCGCGUUGGAUUAGCUAGUUGGUAGGGUAAAAGCCUACCAAGGCGACGAUCCAUAGCUGGUCGGUGAGGAGGAUCAGCCACACUGGGACUGAGACACGGCCCAGACUCGUACGGGAGGCGGCAGUGGGGAAUAUUGGACAAUGGGCGAAAGGCUGAUCCAGCAAGGCCGCGUUAGUGAUGAAGGCCUUAGGGUUGUAAAGCUCUUUUACCCGGGAUGAUAAUGACAGUACCGGGAGAAUAAGCUCCGGCUAACUCCGUG
Molecule: ribosomal RNA, 433 nt
Filed under: uncultured bacterium
Lineage: Bacteria
Description: partial 16S ribosomal RNA
Rfam family: Bacterial small subunit ribosomal RNA
Source: RNAcentral